This 1521-nucleotide ribosomal RNA is filed under the name metagenome. RNAcentral describes it as "bacterial SSU rRNA". It matches the Rfam family "Bacterial small subunit ribosomal RNA". The record is from RNAcentral.
AGAGUUUGAUCAUGGCUCAGAUUGAACGCUGGCGGCAGGCCUAACACAUGCAAGUCGAACGGUAACAGGAAACAGCUUGCUGUUUCGCUGACGAGUGUCGGACGGGUGAGUAAUGUCUGGGAAACUGCCUGAUGGAGGGGGAUAACUACUGGAAACGGUAGCUAAUACCGCAUAACGUCGCAAGACCAAAGAGGGGGACCUUCGGGCCUCUUGCCAUCAGAUGUGCCCAGAUGGGAUUAGCUAGUAGGUGGGGUAACGGCUCACCUAGGCGACGAUCCCUAGCUGGUCUGAGAGGAUGACCAGCCACACUGGAACUGAGACACGGUCCAGACUCCUACGGGAGGCAGCAGUGGGAAUAUUGCACAAUGGGCGCAAGCCUGAUGCAGCCAUGCCGCGUGUAUGAAGAAGGCCUUCGGGUUGUAAAGUACUUUCAGCGGGGAGGAAGGGAGUAAAGUUAAUACCUUUGCUCAUUGACGUUACCCGCAGAAGAAGCACCGGCUAACUCCGUGCCAGCAGCCGCGGUAAUACGGAGGGUGCAAGCGUUAAUCGGAAUUACUGGGCGUAAAGCGCACGCAGGCGGUUUGUUAAGUCAGAUGUGAAAUCCCCGGGCUCAGCCUGGGAACUGCAUCUGAUACUGGCAAGCUUGAGUCUCGUAGAGGGGGGUAGAAUUCCAGGUGUAGCGGUGAAAUGCGUAGAGAUCUGGAGGAAUACCGGUGGCGAAGGCGGCCCCCUGGACGAAGACUGACGCUCAGGUGCGAAAGCGUGGGGAGCAAACAGGAUUAGAUACCCUGGUAGUCCACGCCGUAAACGAUGUCGACUUGGAGGUUGUGCCCUUGAGGCGUGGCUUCCGGAGCUAACGCGUUAAGUCGACCGCCUGGGGAGUACGGCCGCAAGGUUAAAACUCAAAUGAAUUGACGGGGGCCCGCACAAGCGGUGGAGCAUGUGGUUUAAUUCGAUGCAACGCGAAGAACCUUACCUGGUCUUGACAUCCACGGAAGUUUUCAGAGAUGAGAAUGUGCCUUCGGGAACCGUGAGACAGGUGCUGCAUGGCUGUCGUCAGCUCGUGUUGUGAAAUGUUGGGUUAAGUCCCGCAACGAGCGCAACCCUUAUCCUUUGUUGCCAGCGGUCCGGCCGGGAACUCAAAGGAGACUGCCAGUGAUAAACUGGAGGAAGGUGGGGAUGACGUCAAGUCAUCAUGGCCCUUACGACCAGGGCUACACACGUGCUACAAUGGCGCAUACAAAGAGAAGCGACCUCGCGAGAGCAAGCGGACCUCAUAAAGUGCGUCGUAGUCCGGAUUGGAGUCUGCAACUCGACUCCAUGAAGUCGGAAUCGCUAGUAAUCGUGGAUCAGAAUGCCACGGUGAAUACGUUCCCGGGCCUUGUACACACCGCCCGUCACACCAUGGGAGUGGGUUGCAAAAGAAGUAGGUAGCUUAACCUUCGGGAGGGCGCUUACCACUUUGUGAUUCAUGACUGGGGUGAAGUCGUAACAAGGUAACCGUAGGGGAACCUGCGGUUG